UGCCAGCCGCCGCGGUAAUACAGAGGGUGCGAACGUUGCUCGGAAUUACUGGGCGUAAAGCGCACGUAGGCGGACUUUUAAGUCAGAUGUGAAAUCCCAAGGCUCAACCUUGGAACUGCAUUUGAAACUGGGAGUCUAGAGAUCAGGAGAGGUUAGUGGAAUACCGAGUGUAGAGGUGAAAUUCGUAGAUAUUCGGAGGAACACCAGUGGCGAAGGCGGCUCACUGGCUCGAUACUGACGCUGAGGUACGAAAGUGUGGGGAGCAAACAGGAUUAGAUA
RNAcentral lists this ribosomal RNA (279 nucleotides) under uncultured bacterium. RNAcentral's name for it is "partial 16S ribosomal RNA". It matches the Rfam family "Bacterial small subunit ribosomal RNA", at positions 506 to 784 of the family's 1533-position model. The record is from RNAcentral.